UCUGGCUCAGAACGAACGCUGGCGGCGUGCUUAACACAUGCAAGUCGAACGCGAAAGGGACUUCGGUCCUGAGUAAAGUGGCGCACGGGUGAGUAACGCGUAGAUAACCUGUCUUCAUGUCUGGAAUAAUACGCCGAAAGGGGUACUAAUACCGGAUAUUCUUGCUUUUCAUAAGUUAUGCAAGCAAAGGUGGCCUCUGCAUAUGCUACUGCAUGAAGAGGGGUCUGCGUACCAUUAGCUAGUAGGUGGGGUAAUGGCCUACCUAGGCGACGAUGGUUAGCGGGUCUGAGAGGAUGAUCCGCCACACUGGCACUGGAACACGGGCCAGACUCCUACGGGAGGCAGCAGUGAGGAAUAUUGCGCAAUGGGGGAAACCCUGACGCAGCGACGCCGCGUGAGUGAGGAAGGCCUUCGGGUCGUAAAGCUCUGUCAAGAGGAAAGAAGUGUACAAUGGCUAAUACCUGUUGUAUUUGACGGUACCUCUAAAGGAAGCACCGGCUAACUCCGUGCCAGCCGCCGC
Molecule: ribosomal RNA, 520 nt
Filed under: uncultured bacterium
Lineage: Bacteria
Description: bacterial SSU rRNA
Rfam family: Bacterial small subunit ribosomal RNA
Source: RNAcentral